UUUUGUGUGAUUUCAGUUCUU
Non-coding RNA from Caenorhabditis elegans, 21 nucleotides. The record is from Ensembl. Lineage: Eukaryota; Metazoa; Nematoda; Chromadorea; Rhabditida; Rhabditidae.